UACGGGGGGGGGCAAGCGUUGUUCGGAAUUACUGGGCGUAAAGGGCUCGUAGGCGGCCAACUAAGUCAGACGUGAAAUCCCUCGGCUUAACCGGGGAACUGCGUCUGAUACUGGAUGGCUUGAGGUUGGGAGAGGGAUGCGGAAUUCCAGGUGUAGCGGUGAAAUGCGUAGAUAUCUGGAGGAACACCUGUGGCGAAAGCGGCGCACUGGACCACAACUGACGCUGAGGCGCGAAAGCUAGGGGAGCAAACAGG
RNAcentral lists this ribosomal RNA (254 nucleotides) under uncultured bacterium. RNAcentral describes it as "partial 16S ribosomal RNA". It matches the Rfam family "Bacterial small subunit ribosomal RNA", at positions 524 to 776 of the family's 1533-position model. The record is from RNAcentral.